This 375-nucleotide unclassified non-coding RNA is filed under the name soil metagenome. RNAcentral describes it as "partial contains 5.8S ribosomal RNA, internal transcribed spacer 2, and large subunit ribosomal RNA". The stretch from base 1 to 120 matches the Rfam family "5.8S ribosomal RNA", at positions 35 to 154 of the family's 154-position model. The record is from RNAcentral.
GAUGAAGAACGUAGCGAAAUGCGAUAAGUAAUGCGAAUUGCAGAAUUCAGUGAACCAUCGAAUCUUUGAACGCACAUUGCGCCCGGCAGUAAUCUGCCGGGCAUGCCUGUCCGAGCGUCAUUUCUCCCCUCGAGCGCAGCUUUCCCCCCCGGGGGAGGGCCGCGCCCGGUGUUGGGGCGCUACGGAGGAGCCCAGCGCUCCCCCGUAGGCCCCGAAAUGUAGUGGCGGUCCCGCCGCGGCGCCCCCUGCGUAGUAGUUUUACAACUCGCAUCGGGUCCCGGCGGAGGCCAGCCGUCAAACCCCCCAACUUCAAUAGUUUGACCUCGGAUCAGGUAGGGUUACCCGCUGAACUUAAGCAUAUCAAUAAGCGGAGGA